UACGUAGGGUGCGAGCGUUAAUCGGAAUUACUGGGCGUAAAGCGUGCGCAGGCGGUUACUUAAGUCAGGUGUGAAAGCCCUGGGCUUAACCUAGGAAUUGGGCUUGAGGCUGGGUAGCUUUGAGUGUGGCAGAGGGAGGUGGAAUUCCACGUGUAGCAGUGAAAUGCGUAGAGAUGUGGAGGAACACCGAUGGCGAAGGCGGCCAUCUGGCCCGCAAUUGACGCUGAGGCGCGAAAGCGUGGGGAGCACCCAGG
RNAcentral lists this ribosomal RNA (254 nucleotides) under uncultured bacterium. Its description in RNAcentral is "partial 16S ribosomal RNA". It matches the Rfam family "Bacterial small subunit ribosomal RNA", at positions 524 to 776 of the family's 1533-position model. The record is from RNAcentral.